Molecule: ribosomal RNA, 458 nt
Filed under: uncultured Streptococcus sp.
Lineage: Bacteria; Bacillati; Bacillota; Bacilli; Lactobacillales; Streptococcaceae
Description: bacterial SSU rRNA
Rfam family: Bacterial small subunit ribosomal RNA
Source: RNAcentral
CACAAGCGGUGGAGCAUGUGGUUUAAUUCGAAGACAACGCGAAGAACCUUACCAGGUCUUGACAUCCCGAUGCUAUUUCUAGAGAUAGAAAGUUACUUCGGUACAUCGGUGACAGGUGGUGCAUGGUUGUCGUCAGCUCGUGUCGUGAGAUGUUGGGUUAAGUCCCGCAACGAGCGCAACCCCUAUUGUUAGUUGCCAUCAUUCAGUUGGGCACUCUAGCGAGACUGCCGGUAAUAAACCGGAGGAAGGUGGGGAUGACGUCAAAUCAUCAUGCCCCUUAUGACCUGGGCUACACACGUGCUACAAUGGUUGGUACAACGAGUUGCGAGUCGGUGACGGCGAGCUAAUCUCUUAAAGCCAAUCUCAGUUCGGAUUGUAGGCUGCAACUCGCCUACAUGAAGUCGGAAUCGCUAGUAAUCGCGGAUCAGCACGCCGCGGUGAAUACGUUCCCGGGCCUU